UGGACACUCUGGUGCUAGUAUCAGUCAUUUUGAUCACAAGACGUGGACCAGCCCACCUUGGAGCUCACUGUGGUGGUGGCCUGGUCCUAAUGCAAGUCCUAAUGGAGCUCUUGGAACUGGCUGUAGCCUUUGCUGAGCAGGAGCAACUAUGUCUCUGGUUCUUAAGGAUUGAAAAGGUUUCUUGGAAAAGCUUUCAUUUUCU
Molecule: long non-coding RNA, 202 nt
Filed under: Homo sapiens (human)
Lineage: Eukaryota; Metazoa; Chordata; Mammalia; Primates; Hominidae
Description: HSALNT0090410
Source: RNAcentral